GACGAACGCUGGCGGCGUGCCUAAUACAUGCAAGUCGAACGCUGAAGGAGGAGCUUGCUCUUCUGGAUGAGUUGCGAACGGGUGAGUAACGCGUAGGUAACCUGCCUGGUAGCGGGGGAUAACUAUUGGAAACGAUAGCUAAUACCGCAUAAGAGUAGAUGUUGCAUGACAUUUACUUAAAAGGUGCAAUUGCAUCACUACCAGAUGGACCUGCGUUGUAUUAGCUAGUUGGUGGGGUAACGGCUUACCAAGGCGACGAUACAUAGCCGACCUGAGAGGGUGAUCGGCCACACUGGGACUGAGACACGGCCCAGACUCCUACGGGAGGCAGCAGUAGGGAAUCUUCGGCAAUGGACGGAAGUCUGACCGAGCAACGCCGCGUGAGUGAAGAAGGGUUUCGGAUCGUAAAGCUCUGUUGUAAGAGAAGAACGAGUGUGAGAGUGGAAAGUUCACACUGUGACGGUAUCUUAACAGAAAGGGACGGCUAACUACGUG
Molecule: ribosomal RNA, 495 nt
Filed under: uncultured bacterium
Lineage: Bacteria
Description: partial 16S ribosomal RNA
Rfam family: Bacterial small subunit ribosomal RNA
Source: RNAcentral